Non-coding RNA from Cucurbita pepo subsp. pepo (vegetable marrow), 219 nucleotides. Lineage: Eukaryota; Viridiplantae; Streptophyta; Magnoliopsida; Cucurbitales; Cucurbitaceae. The record is from RefSeq and is a predicted model, not a curated record.
GUGUAUUAACACUGAAGGAAACUAUACCUGUCGUUGUCCUAAGAACUUCCAUGGAGAUGGAAGAGAAGGCGGAGAAGGUUGCACCAAAAAUUCCACCUCUUCCAUUCCUAUCAUAAUUGGAAUUGGGUUAGGCCUCGUAGUUCUACUAAUUGCCAUCACAACCAUAUACUUAUGCUAUAAAAAGUUGAAGUUCAUCAAACAAAAACAGCGUUUUUUCCA